CGGGGCGAGGCCAACAUGGCGAUUCCCAGAGAGGAAGCAGCAGAAGAUGGCUUCUCCUCCGCUGGCCCAGGCUCUUGUCUAUGGACGUCUUGGCAGGCGCCUUCCCUCCCUCUGGAGACCUGACAACCACUAAAGUCCCAGAUCUCCCGCCGGGGCCUUCGCUGGCCCCCCAGCCUGCUCUUGGCUCACCUUCGCCGCCCAAGUGAGGUUGCUGCAGGAGAGAGGAGGGGCCGGCCCUGACUGGCCGCCCUUCAGAAGACCAAGGACUCCAAGGGACCCAUCACUUGGUAGCAAUUCUGGUACUGCCGCUUGCUCUGUCAGACUCUGAGCACCGAUUUCUCUCCUUUAAGCCUUAGUUUCCUCCUGUGUACAAUGGAAUCAGCCCUGCCUCCUGGGCUGCCAUAGGACUCCAUGGGCUAACGCGUGUGCAAGCACAGCCCAGGACCAGGCACAGAACAGUCACUCUUCUCAUUAUUUACUACUGUUGUUAUUACAAAA
This is a long non-coding RNA of Eubalaena glacialis (North Atlantic right whale), 498 nucleotides long. RefSeq lists it as uncharacterized. The transcript has 3 exons. Lineage: Eukaryota; Metazoa; Chordata; Mammalia; Artiodactyla; Balaenidae. The record is from RefSeq and is a predicted model, not a curated record.